Molecule: ribosomal RNA, 3451 nt
Filed under: Lactococcus garvieae TRF1
Lineage: Bacteria; Bacillati; Bacillota; Bacilli; Lactobacillales; Streptococcaceae
Description: bacterial LSU rRNA
Rfam family: Bacterial large subunit ribosomal RNA
Source: RNAcentral
AUGGCAAAGUUAAUAAGGGCGCACGGUGGAUGCCUUGGCAUUAAGAGCCGAAGAAGGACGUGACUAACGACGAUAUUCUAGGGGGAGCAGUAAGUACGCAUUGAUCCCUAGGUCUCCGAAUGGGGAAACCCACUAUGUUAUGCAUAGUAUCCGUAAGUGAAUACAUAGCUUACGCGAAGGUAACGCAGAGAACUGAAACAUCUAAGUACCUGCAGGAAGAGAAAGUAAAAACGAUUUCCUAAGUAGCGGCGAGCGAACGGGAAACAGGCCAAACCAAGAAGCUUGCUUCUUGGGGUUGUAGGACUGCAACGUGGACUUAAAGUCUAUAGAAGAAUUACCUGGGAAGGUAAGCCAAAGAGAGUAAUAGCCUCGUAUUUGAAAUAGACUUUAUACCUAGCAGUAUCCUGAGUAGGGCUGGACACGCGAAAUCCAGUUUGAAUCCGGGAGGACCAUCUCCCAAGCCUAAAUACUCCUUAAUGACCGAUAGUGAACCAGUACCGUGAGGGAAAGGUGAAAAGAACCCCGGGAGGGAGUGAAAUAGCACCUGAAACCGUGUGCCUACAAGAAGUUCGAGCCCGUCAAUGGGUGAGAGCGUGCCUUUUGUAGAAUGAACCGGCGAGUUACGUUAUGAUGCGAGGUUAAGCUGAAGAGGCGGAGCCGUAGCGAAAGCGAGUCUGAAUAGGGCGCUUUAGUAUCAUGAUGUAGACCCGAAACCUAGUGACCUAUCCAUGAGCAGGUUGAAGGUGCGGUAAGACGCACUGGAGGACCGAACCAGGACACGUUGAAAAGUGUUUGGAUGACUUGUGGAUAGCGGAGAAAUUCCAAACGAACUGGGAGAUAGCUGGUUCUCUCCGAAAUAGCUUUAGGGCUAGCGUCGCAAUUUAAGUGUAUUGGAGGUAGAGCACUGUUUGGAUGAGGGGCCCAUCUCGGGUUACCAAUUUCAGAUAAACUCCGAAUGCUAAUACACAUGUGCGGCAGUCAGACUGCGAGUGCUAAGAUCCGUAGUCGAAAGGGAAACAGCCCAGACCACCAGCUAAGGUCCCAAAAUAUAUGUUAAGUGGAAAAGGAUGUGGGGUUGCACAGACAACUAGGAUGUUAGCUCAGAAGCAGCUAUCAUUCAAAGAGUGCGUAAUAGCUCACUAGUCGAGUGACCCUGCGCCGAAAAUGUACCGGGGCUAAACAUAUUACCGAAGCUGUGGAUUUAAUAUUAAUUAAAUGGUAGGAGAGCGUUGUAAUCAGCGAUGAAGGUAUACCGUGAGGGGUGCUGGAGCGAUUACAAGUGAGAAUGCCGGUAUGAGUAGCGCAAGAUAAGUGAGAAUCUUAUCCACCGUAAGACUAAGGUUUCCAGGGGAAGGCUCGUCCGCCCUGGGUUAGUCGGGACCUAAGGCGAGGCCGAAAGGCGUAGUCGAUGGACAACAGGUUGAUAUUCCUGUACUAGUAUUGUUAGUGAUGGAGGGACGCAGUAGCUAAAGGGAGCCAGUUAAUGGAUUCUGGUCUAAGCAGUGAGGUGUGGAAUGUGUCAAAUGCAUUUUCCUUUAACAUUGAGCUGUGAUGGGGAAGCAACUACGGUUGCGAAGCCCUUGAUGUCACACUGCCAAGAAAAUCUUCUAGCGUUUAAUUCAAUACUACCCGUACCGCAAACCGACACAGGUAGUCGAGGCGAGUAGCCUCAGGUGAUCGAGAGAACUCUCGUUAAGGAACUCGGCAAAAUGACCCCGUAACUUCGGGAGAAGGGGUGCUGUAGAAAUACAGCCGCAGUGAAAAGAUCCAAGCAACUGUUUAUCAAAAACACAGCUCUCUGCUAAACCGCAAGGUGAUGUAUAGGGGGUGACGCCUGCCCGGUAUGAGUAGCGCAAGAUAAGUGAGAAUCUUAUCCACCGUAAGACUAAGGUUUCCAGGGGAAGGCUCGUCCGCCCUGGGUUAGUCGGGACCUAAGGCGAGGCCGAAAGGCGUAGUCGAUGGACAACAGGUUGAUAUUCCUGUACUAGUAUUGUUAGUGAUGGAGGGACGCAGUAGGCUAAAGGGAGCCAGUUAAUGGAUUCUGGUCUAAGCAGUGAGGUGUGGAAUGUGUCAAAUGCAUUUUCCUUUAACAUUGAGCUGUGAUGGGGGAAGCAACUACGGUUGCGAAGCCUUGAUGUCACACUGCCAAGAAAAUCUUCUAGCGUUUAAUUCAAUACUACCCGUACCGCAAACCGACACAGGUAGUCGAGGCGAGUAGCUCAGGUGAUCGAGAGAACUCUCGUUAAGGAACUCGGCAAAAUGACCCCGUAACUUCGGGAGAAGGGGUGCUGUAGAAAUACAGCCGCAGUGAAAAGAUCCAAGCAACUGUUUAUCAAAAACACAGCUCUCUGCUAAACCGCAAGGUGAUGUAUAGGGGGUGACGCCUGCCCGGUGCUGGAAGGUUAAGAGGAGGGGUUAGACAUUAGUCGAAGCUCUGAAUUGAAGCCCCAGUAAACGGCGGCCGUAACUAUAACGGUCCUAAGGUAGCGAAAUUCCUUGUCGGGUAAGUUCCGACCCGCACGAAAGGCGUAAUGAUUUGGAUACUGUCUCAACGAGAGACUCGGUGAAAUUUUAGUACCUGUGAAGAUGCAGGUUACCCGCGACAGGACGGAAAGACCCCAUGGAGCUUUACUGCAGAUUGAUAUUGAGUACCUGUGAAGCAUGUACAGGAUAGGUAGGAGACUUUGACCUUGGGACGCUAGUUUCAAGUGAGUCGCUGUUGGGAUACUACCCUUGCUUCAUGGUUGCUCUAACCCACACGCAUAAUCGGCGUGGGAGACAGUGUCUGUCGGGCAGUUUGACUGGGGCGGUCGCCUCCUAAAGAGUAACGGAGGCGCCCAAAGGUUCCCUCAACAUGGUUGGAAAUCAUGUGUAGAGUGUAAAGGUAUAAGGGAGCUUGACUGCGAGAGCUACAACUCGAGCAGGUAGGAAACUAGGGCUUAGUGAUCCGGUGGUACCGCAUGGAAGGGCCAUCGCUCAACGGAUAAAAGCUACCCUGGGGAUAACAGGCUUAUCUCCCCCAAGAGUUCACAUCGACGGGAGGUUUGGCACCUCGAUGUCGGCUCGUCGCAUCCUGGGGCUGUAGUCGGUCCCAAGGGUUGGGCUGUUCGCCCAUUAAAGCGGCACGCGAGCUGGGUUCAGAACGUCGUGAGACAGUUCGGUCCCUAUCCGUCGCGGGCGUAGGAAAUUUGAGAGGAUCUGCCUUAGUACGAGAGGACCGGGGUGGACUUACCGCUGGUGUACCAGUUGUUCCGCCAGGAGCACCGCUGGGUAGCUAUGUAGGGAAGGGAUAAGCGCUGAAAGCAUCUAAGUGCGAAGCCCACCUCAAGAUGAGAUUUCCCAUUCUUUAUGAAUUAAGAGCCCUGAGAGAUGAUCAGGUUGAUAGGCUGGAAGUGGAAGUCCUGCGAGGGAUGGAGCGGACCAGUACUAAUAGCUCGAGGACUUUACCAAG